This 513-nucleotide ribosomal RNA is filed under the name uncultured bacterium. Its description in RNAcentral is "bacterial SSU rRNA". It matches the Rfam family "Bacterial small subunit ribosomal RNA", at positions 8 to 505 of the family's 1533-position model. The record is from RNAcentral.
AGAGUUUGAUCAUGGCUCAGGAUGAACGCUAGCGACAGGCCUAACACAUGCAAGUCGAGGGGCAUCGGGGCGAGGAGCAAUCCUUGCCGCCGGCGACCGGCGCACGGGUGAGUAACGCGUAUGCGACCUGCCCGUUGCAGGGGGAUAAUCGGGAGAAAUCCCGUCUAAUACCGCGUAAUGCCGCGGGGCUGCAUGGCCCUGCGGCCAAAGGAAGCGAUUCCGGCAACGGAUGGGCAUGCGUGACAUUAGCUAGUUGGCGGGGCAACGGCCCACCAAGGCGACGAUGUCUAGGGGUUCUGAGAGGAAGGUCCCCCACACUGGUACUGAGACACGGACCAGACUCCUACGGGAGGCAGCAGUGAGGAAUAUUGGUCAAUGGGCGCGAGCCUGAACCAGCCAAGUCGCGUGAGGGAUGACGGCCCUACGGGUUGUAAACCUCUUUUGUCGGGGAGCAAAUUCCGCCACGCGUGGCGGGGUCGAGAGUACCCGAAAAAAAAGCAUCGGCUAACUCCG